CCUACGGGUGGCAGCAGUGGGGAAUAUUGGACAAUGGGGGGAACCCUGAUCCAGCGAUGCCGCGUGAGUGAUGAAGGCCUUCGGGUUGUAAAACUCUUUCACUGAUGAAGAUGAUGACGGUAGUCAGAGAAGAAGCUCCGGCUAACUUCGUGCCAGCAGCCGCGGUAAUACGAAGGGAGCUAGCGUUGUUCGGAAUUACUGGGCGUAAAGAGUACGUAGGCUGUUAUGUAAGUUAGGUGUGAAAUUCUUGGUCUUAAGCUAAGGACUGCACUUAAUACUGCAUGACUUGAGUAUGGGAGAGGACAGAGGAAUUCCUAGUGUAGAGGUGAAAUUCGUAGAUAUUAGGAGGAACAUCGAUGGCGAAGGCAUCUGUCUGGAACAUAACUGACGCUUAGGUACGAAAGUGUGGGGAGCAAACAGGAUUAGAUACCCCAGUAGUC
Molecule: ribosomal RNA, 440 nt
Filed under: uncultured bacterium
Lineage: Bacteria
Description: bacterial SSU rRNA
Rfam family: Bacterial small subunit ribosomal RNA
Source: RNAcentral